ACAUGAUGCUGUGGUUAUGAAGCUGACAUCUGAAGAAAUGGUGUGAAAUGGGAAACCUGACAGCCUCUGCCUGCUCCCCUGCCCUGUGAAUGAUAAUGAUUUCAUAGUGGAGACAGAUAUGGACAUCCUUUCCUUGUCAAAUGCAGGCAUAAAUAUGCCCACAGGGCACAUGCAUACUUCAUCUCAAGGAGAACCCAAGAUCAGAACAUCCUGCUAUAAAAGCCCCUGUUAUUGUACACCUCUUCUUUGGCAGACAGAAUUGAGCUCUUGGUAUACCUAGAUGUCUUGGGGGCUUUCAGAGACAUGCACAUGAAGGGGAGUUAGAGGAAAAAUGUCUACUCUACAAGAUAGUCACCAUUUAUAACUCUUCCUGUCUAAAGAGGAAUAUCUGGUCCAUUCUUCCUCUACUAGGUUUCCCGUCAAGAAGCCAUACAUGAUGGUCAGUGCUAAGAGUAAACUUCAAAGUCUCAAGAUUCACAAAGGAAAAAACCUGGGCACACUUGUGAGGGAGUUUUCAAAUGAUUUCUAUUUUGUUAGGAUGAUCCACCCUAAGUGUGACCAUCACCAUUCUGUGACCUGGGAUCCUGCACUAAAUAAAAGCAAAAUAUUGGAGAAAGUAGCAGCAUUGACUCGUGCUUUCUGUCAGUGAAUGUAAUUCAAUAGUAUUUCUUACAUGCCUGCCCCUGUACCCUCCCAAGCAUGAUAAACUAUACCCUUAAACUGUGAACCAAAAUAAACCAUCAUUCUUUCCGUUGCCUUUAAAGGUAUUUUGUCAAAGCAAUGAGAAAAAUAAAUAACAAGUCAUAUAAGGCCACCAUGCAUAUGAAUUCCCAGCAUUUCAGCCUUCCUGCUUUGUUACACAUAUGCAGAUACUUUGGAAUACCAGAUACAGAAGUGAGAAUCUGACUAGCCACCUAUCAAUGGCUUUGAUCGUCUCUUACAAUCUGGGAGACCAUUUAUCCUCACGUCCACCUUCUCCAUCCCUGUAUCUUAGACACCAUGGAAUUCUGAAAUUUCUUGUCUCUGAAAUAGUAAUGCUCAAUCCUAUAGAACUAUCAAAUCCUAUGUUUCUUAUAUACACUGAUUCAACUUCUAUUUUAAUUAAAGUAGUGUUAGACACAGCCAAAUGCUUAUGUAGAAAGUCUCUCUAGAUAAGUAUCAAUUCCCUGUCAAGAAGACAAUCAGUUGGAAAAUUAAGUAUUCAGAUAAAUGCUAAGUAAAGUGUUUGUCCCAUCAAAGAGUGUUGUAUGAACUAAAAUGACAGAAUGGCUAAUAGUUGUAAAUAUUACUGGUGAUGUCUACUGAGUCAUUUGUGUAACCAAGAGUUCAUACUGUGGUAAACACUGCACAUCAGUUGAGGACAAAGCACUGCUCAUUUAUGCUAUGACAUGAUGGAAAAGAGGUGACGAGUUUUGGAUUUCUUGUUAAUCUUUUCAAUUUAGUAUUUUAGAAAGGCAUCGUAAAGAUCUCCUGCAGAGCAAAUUUUAUGGCAGCGAAAAACUUUCCACUUCUGGUGUGUAUGAAUGUAGAUGUAUUUAUUUCCAAGGUAGAGUUUCUUUAGACAUUUGGAACAUUAAGUGGUUAAUUUUCUCCCAUAAUUCUACAUGGGGAUUUUGUUUGUUUGAUUGAUUGUUUCUAUUUUGCUUUGCUUUUGCCUUUGAGCUUGGUGUGAAGAUGUGUGUGGUCAGCAUGCAAAUAUGAAUGUUGAGGAGAACAUCAGUUCAAACAUCAGAACUGUUCCAGACUGGGUCUCUGGAAGUAGGAGUGAGCAGUCUGACUUCAGCAGAGGAUUAGUGACAUUCCUCUUAAAAGCAACACUCAUUCUUCAUUAUCCAUCAUAAAAGGAAGAUGAACUCUGACCCAGAGGGCUCAUCAAAAGUUCCUCUGCAUCCAGUUGGACUCUGGCAUGGUCAAAUGUCUGUCAAAGCAUUUAUUGUCUUCAAGGGUGUAAGAUAUCCUGACUGCAUAAGGUAUCAGUCUAACUCUGAGAAACGCAUGGUCAGUUCUACUUAAUAAUAAAUGAACUAACAUAGAAGAAAGUUGAUUUCCUGAAAUAAACUGGGAUUUUCGUGUUGGUUGGAAUGUACCAACAACAGAUAGUGAAAUCUGAGAUUCAGCCUUGUUAUCUCUGCUUGGUGCCUAAGUAAUGAAUACCUUCCCUCAUCUUAUACCAUACUGUUAAGACCAUUUGUCAAUAAACUGCCAUCUUUGCCUUAAGAUCUACUAUA
Molecule: long non-coding RNA, 2228 nt
Organism: Mesocricetus auratus (golden hamster)
Lineage: Eukaryota; Metazoa; Chordata; Mammalia; Rodentia; Cricetidae
Exons: 4
Source: RefSeq, a predicted model, not a curated record